RNAcentral lists this ribosomal RNA (246 nucleotides) under uncultured bacterium. Its description in RNAcentral is "partial 16S ribosomal RNA". It matches the Rfam family "Bacterial small subunit ribosomal RNA", at positions 86 to 334 of the family's 1533-position model. The record is from RNAcentral.
AGAUGGCGACCGGCGCACGGGUGAGUAACACGUAUCCAACCUGCCGAUAACUCGGGGAUAGCCUUUCGAAAGAAAAGAUUAAUACCCGAUGGCAUAAUUAGACCGCAUGGUCUUAUUAUUAAAGAAUUCGGUUAUCGAUGGGGAUGCGUUCCAUUAGGCAGUUGGUGAGGUAACGGCUCACCAACCUUCGAUGGAUAGGGGUUCUGAGAGGAAGGUCCCCCACAUUGGAACUGAGACACGGUCCAA